RNAcentral lists this ribosomal RNA (253 nucleotides) under uncultured bacterium. Its description in RNAcentral is "partial 16S ribosomal RNA". It matches the Rfam family "Bacterial small subunit ribosomal RNA", at positions 524 to 776 of the family's 1533-position model. The record is from RNAcentral.
UACGUAGGGACCGAGCGUUGUCCGGAUUCAUUGGGCGUAAAGAGCUCGUAGGCGGCUGUUCAAGUCGAACGUGAAAACUCGGAGCUCAACUCCGAGCCUGCGUUCGAUACUGGACGGCUAGAGUCUGGUAGGGGGAUCUGGAAUUCCUGGUGUAGCGGUGGAAUGCGCAGAUAUCAGGAGGAACACCGGUGGCGAAGGCGGGAUCCUGGGCCAAUACUGACACUGAGGAGCGAAAGCCAGGGGAGCAAACGGG